Molecule: long non-coding RNA, 335 nt
Filed under: Nicotiana benthamiana
Lineage: Eukaryota; Viridiplantae; Streptophyta; Magnoliopsida; Solanales; Solanaceae
Description: long non-coding RNA (NBEN_LNC007255)
Source: RNAcentral
GGUAUAUCAGCCAAGAUGCGAAGAAGUGGACUAGUUGGGUAAGCAUGGCAUCCGAUUUCAUGGAGCGUUUCAGGUUCAACACUGAGAACGCGCCGGACGUGAUCUAUAUUCAGAAUUUGAAGAAGAAGCCCACUAAAACCUUUCGUUCGUGCUCAGGCCGGCUUUGGAAGAAGAACAAAUGAACAUAUUUUUUGUUCGUGCGCAGGUCCCACAGUAUUACGAGAGAUUGAUGCUGAUAGAGGGGCAGAAGCUCUUUGAUAUCAUCAAACUGGGAGAAAUAACUGAAGAGGGGAUAAAAAAUGGUAUGGUUACUAACCUUGAGGCACUACAGGCCA